CAACACCACAGAUGAAACGGUCAGACCUGAUCCACAUACAAUCUAUCGCCCCAGGUCGCAAUAGGUGAAGCCACACUUGAUCCUGGGACCAGCCCUUUUUCAGCCAGUCAUCAAGGCAGAAAUAAAUUUGCACCCCUCAAUGCCUCAGAAGCUGGACCGGGGAACACGCCAGGACCUUGACGGAGGCGGAGGCUGACGGAACGGGCUUUCUAGUUUACUGAAUGGUGUGUAAGCUGAAGGAACGGAGGAUGGCACGGGAGCCUUGAAGGCUGUGAAGCCGUGCAUCAGUCCAGUCAGCUCUGAAAAGAGCCCUGCUCCCUCAAACGGAAGGUACUGAAGGGUAGUCUGCAUCUCCUGGGACAGCCCAGAGGACUGUAACGAGGAGCUGCACCUCAUGACCACCGCAGAGGUGACUACCCUGGCUGCAGAGUCCAUAGCUUUCCAGGCCAUCUGAAGGUUACCGCUCGCCACCACUUUGCCCUCUUCCACCAAAAUGGCAAACUCCUGGGCUCGAUCCUGUGGGAAGCCCUCCUGAAACUUGCUGAUGGAGUUGUACCUACCGAGCAGGGCUGGAUGGCUAGACACCCAAAAUUCAGGCUGGCUGUCAAAUAAA
This is a long non-coding RNA of Chelonia mydas (Green sea turtle), 613 nucleotides long. RefSeq lists it as uncharacterized. The transcript is spliced from 3 exons. Lineage: Eukaryota; Metazoa; Chordata; Testudines; Cheloniidae. The record is from RefSeq and is a predicted model, not a curated record.